RNAcentral lists this ribosomal RNA (460 nucleotides) under uncultured bacterium. RNAcentral describes it as "partial 16S ribosomal RNA". It matches the Rfam family "Bacterial small subunit ribosomal RNA", at positions 338 to 795 of the family's 1533-position model. The record is from RNAcentral.
CCUACGGGAGGCAGCAGUGAGGAAUAUUGGUCAAUGGGCGCGAGCCUGAUCCAGCCAAGUAGCGUGAAGGAUGACUGCCCUACGGGUUGUAAACUUCUUUUAUAAAGGAAUAAAGUGAGGCACGUGUGCCUUUAUGUAUGUACUUUAUGAAUAAGGAUGGGCUAACUCCGUGCCAGCAGCCGCGGUAAUACGGAGGAUCCGAGCGUUAUCCGGCUUUAUUGGGUUUACAGGGAGCGUAGAUGGGUUGUUAAGUCAGUUGUGAAAGUUUGCGGCUCAACCGUAAAAUUGCAAUUGAUACUGGCAGUCUUGAGUACAGUUGAGGUAGGCGGGAUUCAUGGUGUAGCGGUGAAAUGCUUAGAUAUCACGAAGAACUCCGAUUGCGAAGGCAGCUUACUAAACUGCCACUGACAUUGAUGCUCGAAAGUGUGGGUAUCAAACAGGAUUAGAUACCCCAGUAGUC